Molecule: ribosomal RNA, 572 nt
Filed under: Alternaria triticina
Lineage: Eukaryota; Fungi; Ascomycota; Dothideomycetes; Pleosporales; Pleosporaceae
Description: eukaryotic LSU rRNA
Rfam family: 5.8S ribosomal RNA (bases 196-349)
Source: RNAcentral
GUCCCCGUCAUAAUCGUGACUGGAACCCCCCGCUGGGCACUGCUUCACGGCGUGCGCGGCGGGGCCGGCCCUGCUGAAUUAUUCACCCGUGUCUUUUGCGUACUUCUUGUUUCCUGGGUGGGCUCGCCCGCCCUCAGGACCAACCACAAACCUUUUGCAAUAGCAAUCAGCGUCAGUAACAACGUAAUUAAUUACAACUUUCAACAACGGAUCUCUUGGUUCUGGCAUCGAUGAAGAACGCAGCGAAAUGCGAUACGUAGUGUGAAUUGCAGAAUUCAGUGAAUCAUCGAAUCUUUGAACGCACAUUGCGCCCUUUGGUAUUCCAAAGGGCAUGCCUGUUCGAGCGUCAUUUGUACCCUCAAGCUUUGCUUGGUGUUGGGCGUCUUUUGUCUCCAGUUCGCUGGAGACUCGCCUUAAAGUCAUUGGCAGCCGGCCUACUGGUUUCGGAGCGCAGCACAAGUCGCGCUCUUUGCCAGCCAAGGUCAGCGUCCAGCAAGCCUUUUUUUCAACCUUUGACCUCGGAUCAGGUAGGGAUACCCGCUGAACUUAAGCAUAUCAAUAAGGCGGAGGAA